UUUCAACAGACUGGUAAAGUGUGCUCUGACACUUUCUACAAGAGCUUCAUGGAGUGGGUGAUUGUCUCUGACAUGGUGGACAGGUUGUGUUUGGAGGAGCCAUUUACCUGUCCAGCCUGUACUCCACAAACGUUAGCUGUGUCUGUGGAUGGAAACCGGAAGCUUUACCGCUUCAGAAAGGAUGCACACCAACAAUUUGGGCGUUCAUGUUCUCUAGCUCUGAUGGAAAGGGUUACUUUGAAGGUGUGCUUCUCUGUCCAGAUGAUGAGGUAGCAGCGUUUGUGGAAGACAUACAAAAGAGGGCAAAGCAUGUACCAGGAAAAGGGGUCUGUGGCAAAUCUCUACUGAAAGCAGCCAAAGAGACCUCAAACCAGAGAAAUAGCUCCAACCUUGAUGAGCAGGUAAAUGUUUUAAAGUUUCUG
Long non-coding RNA from Melanotaenia boesemani (Boeseman's rainbowfish), 422 nucleotides. RefSeq lists it as uncharacterized. The transcript is spliced from 3 exons. NCBI's taxonomy places the organism in Eukaryota, Metazoa, Chordata, Actinopteri, Atheriniformes, Melanotaeniidae. The record is from RefSeq and is a predicted model, not a curated record.